This 494-nucleotide ribosomal RNA is filed under the name uncultured bacterium. RNAcentral's name for it is "partial 16S ribosomal RNA". It matches the Rfam family "Bacterial small subunit ribosomal RNA", at positions 29 to 505 of the family's 1533-position model. The record is from RNAcentral.
AUGAACGCUGGCGGCGUGCCUAAUACAUGCAAGUCGAGCGCACAGAUGAGGAGCUUGCUCCUCUGACGUUAGCGGCGGACGGGUGAGUAACACGUGGAUAACCUACCUAUAAGACUGGGAUAACUUCGGGAAACCGGAGCUAAUACCGGAUAAUAUAUUGAACCGCAUGGUUCAAUAGUGAAAGACGGUUUUGCUGUCACUUAUAGAUGGAUCCGCGCCGCAUUAGCUAGUUGGUAAGGUAACGGCUUACCAAGGCAACGAUGCGUAGCCGACCUGAGAGGGUGAUCGGCCACACUGGAACUGAGACACGGUCCAGACUCCUACGGGAGGCAGCAGUAGGGAAUCUUCCGCAAUGGGCGAAAGCCUGACGGAGCAACGCCGCGUGAGUGAUGAAGGUCUUCGGAUCGUAAAACUCUGUUAUUAGGGAAGAACAAAUGUGUAAGUAACUAUGCACGUCUUGACGGUACCUAAUCAGAAAGCCACGGCUAACUACG